Molecule: long non-coding RNA, 1865 nt
Organism: Oncorhynchus masou masou (cherry salmon)
Lineage: Eukaryota; Metazoa; Chordata; Actinopteri; Salmoniformes; Salmonidae
Exons: 3
Source: RefSeq, a predicted model, not a curated record
UUGAACAACAAUAUUUUAUAUUAUUUGUUCUGUAUUUUCUGGUGGAUUAAAUUGAAAUUGCAACCAACUUUCUAUGGCUUGUUUAAAAAUUGUGAUAUUUGGGAGACGACUUCCUUUUCAAAUAACUGAAAGUGAGCGGUUGUAAUCGGAACAAAGGGAAAAGGGCCAUUCUUGAACAAAUUUGGUAGAGAACCAGUUUGGUAGAGAACCAGUUCGAAUUUGAUGCACCCAUCCCGUUAGCGGGAUCAUUUUCGUCAACAUCCACUGAAUUGCAGAUAACCAAAUUCAAAUUAAAUUACUAAUAAUAUUUAAUUUUCAUGAAAUCACAAGUGCAAUAUAGCAAAACACAGUUUAGCUUGUUGUUAAUCCACCUGGCGUGUCAGAUUUCAAAAAAGCUUUUCGGCAAAAGCAUACCAAGCGUUUAUGUAAGGACAUCUCUCUCAGCAGACAAAACAUUACAAACAGCUAGCAGCCAAGUAGAUUGGUCACGAAAGUCAGAAAAGCAAUCAAAUGAAUCGCUUACCUUUGAUGAUCUUCGGAUGUUUGCACCCACGAGACUCCCAGUUACACAAUAAAUGUUCCUUUUGUUCCAUAAAGAUUAUUUUUAUAUCCAAAAUACCUCCAUUUGAUUGGCACGUUUUGUUAAGAAAUCCACAGGCUCAAGCGGUCGGUCACAACGGGGCAGACGAAAAUUCGAAAUAGUAUCUGUAAAGUUCGUAGAAACAUGUCAAACGUUUUUUUAUAAUCAAUCCUCAAAAUGAUGUGGAUAUAUUGAAGCAACAUCUCAAAACAUCAGUCAGGAAGAUAAAGCUUGGUCACAAAUGGGUCUUCCAAAUGGACAUGGACCCCAAGCAUACUUCAAAAGGGGGGUAUUAUUAUUAUUAUUAUUAUUUACUAUUAUCAUUAUUAUUGUUGUUAUCAUAACUAGCAAACUUAACAACCUACUCUUUCUUAUCUUACAGUACGCUCUGUACAUUGCAAUGGAAGCACAGUGUGAUUUCACUGAGGUAUGUAUAAAUUCUUAAAUUCUCAUCACCAGUGGAUGUAAGUUUUUUUGGGAUCCACAUCCGAUUGUGUGAUUUUCUUUUUCAACGGAAAACAUGCAGCAAAUUAGGCGAUGGUGGUGCCUAGUUCUCCUGCAGAACUUUCCAAUGCCGUAAGUCUUGAACAAUAUAAAAACGUUUAAUUUGCAUCCUUGCCAGACUGACCUGAAUAUAUUUUCAUAUUGAAUGUACUGUAUGUCUUUCACUAACUAAGUUCUGAAGUAGAGAGAUGGAAAGAUCGAAAAAGGCGGUGGAAACAAAACACACUACAGGUAGGAGGUGUCAUAUGAUGAGUGGUAUAGUCUUAAACCAAUGUUUAAUGACCUCCCCCCUUCCUCUCCAAUAUAUUUCAGGAUGAUGUAGAAGACGUCCCCCCAAGAAGUCACAGCAUGUCACAUCAGCAUCCAGCUCUGCAGGAUCAGACGAUAGAAAUCUGUGAACUGGGAUGCAGACGUUCUUCUAAGGGACACCCGAGAAGCAGCAAGGUGGUGCGAACACCAAACAUUUAAAGGCACCAUUUCCCUCCUUAGAGUAAUUGGGAUGGACGGGGAAGACCAUAUUACAACCCUUAAAGAACUUUGUAUGAUGGCCUGGAUGACGAGGAAAAUAUUAUCCUCAAGGAACCAUUCAUGUUCUCGUUCCAGUUACAAGGAGAGAUGUUCUAUGUUGAGGCAGUUGACAACAAGAAAUUUACUGUCUCUGUCUCUUUUGAGGAGCAAGAGUGAAGCCAUUUUUGAGGAGUGGUCAAACCUUGUUUUUGUCUGCUGUGUUAUUUGUUUCAAUUGUUUAAUUGUGUUAUUUUGUUUAGUAAAGAUGAUGUAG